Molecule: ribosomal RNA, 331 nt
Filed under: uncultured eukaryote
Lineage: Eukaryota
Description: partial 18S ribosomal RNA
Rfam family: Eukaryotic small subunit ribosomal RNA
Source: RNAcentral
CCCUUAGAUGUUCUGGGCCGCACGCGCGCUACACUGACGAAGUCAGCGAGCAUGUCCUACGCCGACAGGUGCGGGGAAUCUUGUCAAACUUCGUCGUGAUGGGGAUUGAUUUUUGAAAUUCUUGAUCAUAGACGAGGAAUUCCUAGUAAGCGCAAGUCAGCAGCUUGCGUUGAUUACGUCCCUGCCCUUUGUACACACCGCCCGUCGCUACUACCGAUUGAAUGGUUUAGUGAGAUCUUCGGAUUGGCGCCACUGCAGCUCAGCAAUGGGCUUGGUGGAUGCCGAAAAGUUGAUCAAACUUGAUCAUUUAGAGGAAGUAAAAGUCGUAACA